GAGAGCCCAAACCCGAAAAUGGGGAGUUGGGGAAAUGCUCCGGUACUCGCAUCAUGGCGCGUGCAAGUAAUCUUUCUUCUUUCUUUGAUCGACCGACCGAGUUGUUUUGUUUCGAGACAUUAAAGGACAAACACUUCAAAGGCAUGUUCAAACGCGGAAACAGGAUGCUGAAACAACGAAAUAAUGCCCAAAGUAUACGAAUGCCUGUUAUUACUGCAUUUUGCAUUGUAAUUUGUGUUCUAGUUUGGGUUUUAUAUAGGGAAAGUGGAGAAAAAUCUGAUUCAUUUUCUGGUGUAAUCAAAGAAAAUUUGAAUAGCUUUAGCUCUUCGGUUAAGUUAGACCCGACUGUGGAGUUCAGAAAUGGGACAGAUUUAAUAUGGCAAAUCCCAGACUCACCCAAGGCAGUUCUCUUUCUGGCACAUGGUUGUAAUGGUAAAGCAGCUAACUUUUGGGACAGAUCACCUAAGUGCCUAAAUUGUGUGGGUCUACCAGAAGAAAGGCUUAUCGUCCUUAGUGCCUUAGCUAGGAGAUUUGCAGUUCUUGCUGUAUCUAGUGCUGGGAGGUGCUGGUCGAUGGAAGAUGAAAGGUUGAUCGUUAAAGAUAUUAUCGAAUGGUGGGUUGUGAAACAAAAGCUUCAAAGCCUGCCUCUUGUAGCUUUGGGUGCUUCAUCUGGUGGAUAUUUUGUUUCGGUCCUUGCGACUGAUUUAAGGUUCAGUAGCAUAACAAUAAUGAUUGCCGAGGGAUUGUUUGAUCGAAUGGACAUUCCGAAGAGUUACCCUCCUACCCUUUUUGUACACAUGCCCAAAGAUAAAACGAGAAGGUUGAAAAUAGAGAGAUACUUGACUCUCCUGAAGGGUGAAGGGAUUGAUGUUGCAGAGGUCAAAUGCGUGGAGUUUGCAUUGUCGCCUAAUCUCUUAGCUGAUAGAAUUCCAGGUCUUGAUCUAGCUACCUCUGUGAAGUUGUAUAGUCUGUUCCAAGAAAAAGGUUUCAUUGAUACAAAAGGUUUCAUGAGAAAUGACGGGCGUGCAAUACAGUGGAAACCGGCUCUCAAGGAGAGAGACGUUGUUCUACUGGACAAGUCCAUCGCUGAUCACAUUCAAGAGGAAAUGAAUCUCGCAUUUGCUUAUCAUGAAAUGACUAGUUUGCAGUCUGAGAAAAUUUUUAACUGGUUUGAAACUCAUAUGAGCUGAUCAGAUUCUAAUGCUGUGUAGCUCUCCUCUAUUCAGCAGGGUUAGAAUAUUGUUGCCAUGGCUUUGGACUGGAUGAUAACAGAGUUCAGUAGUGUUGUGUGCUCAUGUUAUUUCACGAGGUUGAAGUCUAGUGGGAAUAAUAAUUAUGGUGACAUUGUGAUGAAAAAUAUUGUAUCAGUGUUCAAACUCCAUAUACGUGACAUGGGCUGCCUGCGGUCAUUAUCUGGAUUGUCCUUUUCUUAUGGCCAGAAAAGUGUAUAGUGCAAGCACUUAGGAACUAGGUCAACUUUCUUUUUGAGAGAAAUAUAAUUGAAACUAGUUCUGUUUUCUUGUCCUUAGGGACGAAACUUUUCAAGUGUAAGCUGCUAAGUGCAUGGUGCAGUAUUGAUGUUGGCAUGAACUUCUUCAUACAUGUUCUUCCUAUGCGUGUCAUGUUUUCUGUGUAGAAUGGAUUUCAUACUCUACAAGAAUACCUUAUUUUAUGUUCAGAUCCAUUGCUUGAAUAAUAGUCAUACUUGCAGAUACUCAUCGACACCCUCAUGAGGGAAGAAGCUCAGUUAGCCUUGACACAUCUGUUGGCUUUCAACUAAUAAAGGAGGCUCUGGGUUUGAGCCGACCCUCGUUGGCUAACUUGAACAGCUGGGCCUGAGAUGCUGCCGCUCUGUCUGAACUGAGUGCUGCAGCAAAAUUGUUCUUGACUUGUGAGGUGCUGUAAGUGAACCUUUUGUCAACCAUGGAGUUCAGCAAAGAAGCUGUGCCUUCCCUGUAGAGUUGCCCAAGUCCAUCGGUAUGUUGGUUUGAAAGUGCUUGCAGCAAGUUCAUGUUUGAGCCGAGCCCUGGAGCACUAGCUACACCAAAUGCACCACCAACAGUUCCCCACCAACCAAACAAGCCCCAUAUCAGUCCCGGAUCCACCUGGGAUAAAGAAGCCCUUGAGGGGAGACUACAAGUGGAAAGGACUGACAAGAGGAAUUCAUCGCCAGGGCAUGUUUGAUUCUUAAUAGAUCAGUGUCAGUUCAUGACAGCAUCUUAUUUCCUCCACUAUUUUUUUUGCCUCCUACUGUGAAAAGUGAUGUAAAAGAUUUCAUUUUGUUUUGAAGAAACUAAGCAAGCAUUUGUGCUCCUUCUAAUGAUCUCUUUUUAGACA
Molecule: RNA transcript, 2337 nt
Organism: Capsicum annuum
Lineage: Eukaryota; Viridiplantae; Streptophyta; Magnoliopsida; Solanales; Solanaceae
Exons: 5
Source: RefSeq, a predicted model, not a curated record